RNAcentral lists this ribosomal RNA (460 nucleotides) under uncultured bacterium. RNAcentral describes it as "partial 16S ribosomal RNA". It matches the Rfam family "Bacterial small subunit ribosomal RNA", at positions 338 to 795 of the family's 1533-position model. The record is from RNAcentral.
CCUACGGGUGGCAGCAGUGAGGAAUAUUGGUCAAUGGACGCAAGCCUGAACCAGCCAUGCCGCGUGAAGGAAGACGGCUCUAUGAGUUGUAAACUUCUUUUAUAAGGGAAUAAAUUGAGACACGUGUUCCUGUUUGAAUGUACCUUAUGACUAAGGAUCGGCUAACUCCGUGCCAGCAGCCGCGGUAAUACGGAGGAUUCUAGCGUUAUCCGGAUUUAUUGGGUUGAAAGGGUGCGUAGGGGGUUUGUUAAGUCAGGGGUGAAAGUUGGGGGCUCAACCCUAACACUGCCACUGAUACUGGCUGGCUUGAGUAUAGUUGCGGUAGGCGGAAUGAGUGGUGUAGCGGUGAAAUGCAUAGAGAUCACGCAGAACACCGAUUGCGAAGGCAGCUUACUAAACUGCCACUGACGUUGAGGCACGAAAGCGUGGGGAGCAAACAGGAUUAGAUACCCGGGUAGUC